Molecule: ribosomal RNA, 400 nt
Filed under: phytoplankton environmental sample
Lineage: Eukaryota
Description: partial small subunit ribosomal RNA
Rfam family: Eukaryotic small subunit ribosomal RNA
Source: RNAcentral
AGCUCUAAUAGCGUAUAUUAAAGUUGUUGCGGUUAAAAAGCUCGUAGUUGGAUCUCGGGGGGGCACGCGCGGUCCGGUGAAAACCGCGAACUGGUGCGGGCCUCCCUUCCGUCUGGAGGCGGCCUCUCCACCCGCUUAAUUGCGGGGGGGAGUCGAAUCCAGGACCUUUACUUUGAACAAAUUAGAGUGUUUAAAGCAGGCCUUUUGCGCCCGAAUACAUUAGCAUGGAAUGACAAUAUAGGACUUUGGUUCUAUUUUGUUGGUUUUAAGGACCGAAGUAAUGAUUAAUAGGGACGGUUGGGGGCAUUCGUAUUCCGUUGUCAGAGGUGAAAUUCUUAGAUUUACGGAAGACGAACUUCUGCGAAAGCAUUUGCCAAGGAUGUUUUCAUUGAUCAAGAAC